This 273-nucleotide ribosomal RNA is filed under the name uncultured Streptococcus sp. RNAcentral describes it as "partial 16S ribosomal RNA". It matches the Rfam family "Bacterial small subunit ribosomal RNA", at positions 1107 to 1382 of the family's 1533-position model. Lineage: Bacteria; Bacillati; Bacillota; Bacilli; Lactobacillales; Streptococcaceae. The record is from RNAcentral.
UAUGUUAGUUGCCAUCAUUCAGUUGGGCACUCUAGCGAGACUGCCGGGUAAUAAACCGGAGGAAGUGGGAUGACGUCAAAUCAUCAUGCCCCUUAUGACCUGGGCUACACACGUGCUACAAUGGUUGGUACAACGAGUUGCGAGUCGGUGACGGCGAGCUAAUCUCUUAAAGCCAAUCUCAGUUCGGAUUGUAGGCUGCAACUCGCCUACAUGAAGUCGGAAUCGCUAGUAAUCGCGGAUCAGCACGCCGCGGUGAAUACGUUCCCGGGCCUU